RNAcentral lists this ribosomal RNA (292 nucleotides) under uncultured bacterium. RNAcentral's name for it is "partial 16S ribosomal RNA". It matches the Rfam family "Bacterial small subunit ribosomal RNA", at positions 505 to 796 of the family's 1533-position model. The record is from RNAcentral.
GUGCCAGCAGCCGCGGUAAUACAGAGGGUGCUAGCGUUAAUCGGAUUUACUGGGCGUAAAGCGUGUGUAGGCGGUUUGUUAAGUCGGAUGUGAAAGCCCUGGGCUCAACCUAGGAAUCGCAUUCGAUACUGGCAGGCUAGAGUACGGUAGAGGGUGGCGGAAUUCCGGGUGUAGCGGUGAAAUGCGUAGAUAUCCGGAGGAACACCGAUGGCGAAGGCAACCACCUGGGCCUGUACUGACGCUGAGACACGAAAGCGUGGGGAGCAAACAGGAUUAGAAACCCUCGUAGUCC